Molecule: ribosomal RNA, 697 nt
Filed under: uncultured bacterium
Lineage: Bacteria
Description: bacterial SSU rRNA
Rfam family: Bacterial small subunit ribosomal RNA
Source: RNAcentral
UCGACGGCAGCACGGGAGCAAUCCUGGUGGCGAGUGGCGAACGGGUGAGUAAUGUAUCGGAACGUACCUUUCAGUGGGGGAUAACGUAGCGAAAGUUACGCUAAUACCGCAUAUUCUGUGAGCAGGAAAGCAGGGGAUCGCAAGACCUUGCGCUGAUUGAGCGGCCGAUAUCAGAUUAGCUAGUUGGUGAGGUAAAGGCUCACCAAGGCGACGAUCUGUAGCGGGUCUGAGAGGAUGAUCCGCCACACUGGAACUGAGACACGGUCCAGACUCCUACGGGAGGCAGCAGUGGGGAAUUUUGGACAAUGGGCGCAAGCCUGAUCCAGCCAUGCCGCGUGAGUGAAGAAGGCCUUCGGGUUGUAAAGCUCUUUCAGCCGGGAAGAAAACGCAUGGGUUAAUACCCUGUGUGGAUGACGGUACCGGAAUAAGAAGCACCGGCUAACUACGUGCCAGCAGCCGCGGUAAUACGUAGGGUGCGAGCGUUAAUCGGAAUUACUGGGCGUAAAGCGUGCGCAGGCGGUUUGUUAAGAUAGGCGUGAAAUCCCCGGGCUCAACCUGGGAACUGCGUUUAUGACUGGCAGGCUAGAGUAUGGCAGAGGGGGGUGGAAUUCCACGUGUAGCAGUGAAAUGCGUAGAGAUGUGGAGGAACACCGAUGGCGAAGGCAGCCCCCUGGGCCAAUACUGACGCUCAUGCACG